Molecule: transfer RNA, 45 nt
Filed under: Margarya oxytropoides
Lineage: Eukaryota; Metazoa; Mollusca; Gastropoda; Architaenioglossa; Viviparidae
Description: tRNA-Val
Source: RNAcentral
AGGAGUAUAGCAUAUGUAAUGUGUUUCGUUUACAUCGAAAAGAAU